GAUGAACGCUAGCGGGAGGCUUAAUACAUGCAAGUCGUACGGUAACAGGUGUAGCAAUACAUGCUGACGAGUGGCGCACGGGUGAGGAACACGUACACAAUCUGCCUCUGACUGGGAGAUAGCCCUGGGGAAACUAGGAUUAAUACCCCAUAACAUUACGGAAAGGCGUCUUUCUGUGAUUAAACCUACCGGGGUCGAGAGAUGAGUGUGCGUCUGAUUAGGUAGUUGGCGGGGUAACGGCCCACCAAGCCUGCGAUCAGUAGCUGGCGUGAGAGCGCGACCAGCCACACGGGAACUGAGACACGGUCCCGACUCCUACGGGAGGCAGCAGUAGGGAAUAUUGGACAAUGGCUGAAAAGCUGAUCCAGCCAUCCCGCGUGAAGGCAGAAGGUCCUUUGGAUUGUAACUUCUUUUCUCUGGGAAGAAAUCACGGGUUUCUACCUGUGUUGACGGUACCAGAGGAAUAAGCACCGG
RNAcentral lists this ribosomal RNA (474 nucleotides) under uncultured bacterium. RNAcentral's name for it is "bacterial SSU rRNA". It matches the Rfam family "Bacterial small subunit ribosomal RNA", at positions 28 to 496 of the family's 1533-position model. The record is from RNAcentral.